CUUAACACAUGCAAGUCGAGGGGCAGCAUGGUCUUAGCUUGCUAAGGCCGAUGGCGACCGGCGCACGGGUGAGUAACACGUAUCCAACCUGCCGUCUACUCUUGGACAGCCUUCUGAAAGGAAGAUUAAUACAAGAUGGCAUCAUGAGUCCGCAUGUUCACAUGAUUAAAGGUAUUCCGGUAGACGAUGGGGAUGCGUUCCAUUAGAUAGUAGGCGGGGUAACGGCCCACCUAGUCUUCGAUGGAUAGGGGUUCUGAGGGGAAGGUCCCCCACAUUGGAACUGAGACACGGUCCAAACUCCUACGGGAGGCAGCAGUGAGGAAUAUUGGUCAAUGGGCGAGAGCUUGAACCAGCCAAGUAGCGUGAAGGAUGACUGCCCUAUGGGUUGUAAACUUCUUUUAUAAAGGAAUAAAGUCGGGUAUGGAUACCCGUUUGCAUGUACUUUAUGAAUAAGGAUCGGCUAACUCCGUGCCAGCAGCCGCGGUAAUACGGAGGAUCCGAGCGUUAUCCGGAUUUAUUGGGUUUAAAGGGAGCGUAGAUGGAUGUUUAAGUCAGUUGUGAAAGUUUGCGGCUCAACCGUAAAAUUGCAGUUGAUACUGGAUAUCUUGAGUGCAGUUGAGGCAGGCGGAAUUCGUGGUGUAGCGGUGAAAUGCUUAGAUAUCACGAAGAACUCCGAUUGCGAAGGCAGCCUGCUAAGCUGCAACUGACAUUGAGGCUCGAAAGUGUGGGUAUCAAACAGGAUUAGAUACCCUGGUAGUCCACACGGUAAACGAUGAAUACUCGCUGUUUGCGAUAUACUGCAAGCGGCCAAGCGAAAGCGUUAAGUAUUCCACCUGGGGAGUACGCCGGCAACGGUGAAACUCAAAGGAAUUGACGGGGGCCCGCACAAGCGGAGGAACAUGUGGUUUAAUUCGAUGAUACGCGAGGAACCUUACCCGGGCUUAAAUUGCAGAUGAAUUACGGUGAAAGCCGUAAGCCGCAAGGCAUCUGUGAAGGUGCUGCAUGGUUGUCGUCAGCUCGUGCCGUGAGGUGUCGGCUUAAGUGCCAUAACGAGCGCAACCCUUGUUGUCAGUUACUAACAGGUUCCGCUGAGGACUCUGACAAGACUGCCAUCGUAAGAUGUGAGGAAGGUGGGGAUGACGUCAAAUCAGCACGGCCCUUACGUCCGGGGCUACACACGUGUUACAAUGGGGGGUACAGAGGGCCGCUACCACGCGAGUGGAUGCCAAUCCCCAAAACCUCUCUCAGUUCGGACUGGAGUCUGCAACCCGACUCCACGAAGCUGGAUUCGCUAGUAAUCGCGCAUCAGCCACGGCGCGGUGAAUACGUUCCCGGGCCUUGUACACACCGCCCGUCAAGCCAUGGGAGCCGGGGGUACCUGAAGUGCGUAACCGCGAGGAGCGCCCUAGGGUAAAACUGGUGACUGGGGCUAAGUCAAAA
RNAcentral lists this ribosomal RNA (1440 nucleotides) under uncultured bacterium. RNAcentral describes it as "bacterial SSU rRNA". It matches the Rfam family "Bacterial small subunit ribosomal RNA". The record is from RNAcentral.